RNAcentral lists this ribosomal RNA (2425 nucleotides) under Escherichia coli. Its description in RNAcentral is "partial 23S ribosomal RNA". It matches the Rfam family "Bacterial large subunit ribosomal RNA", at positions 539 to 2925 of the family's 2925-position model. The record is from RNAcentral. Lineage: Bacteria; Pseudomonadati; Pseudomonadota; Gammaproteobacteria; Enterobacterales; Enterobacteriaceae.
UGAAAAAGAACCUGAAACCGUGUACGUACAAGCAGUGGGAGCACAGAGCAAUCUGUGUGACUGCGUACCUUUUGUAUAAUGGGUCAGCGACUUAUAUUCUGUAGCAAGGUUAACCGAAUAGGGGAGCCGAAGGGAAACCGAGUCUUAACUGGGCGUUAAGUUGCAGGGUAUAGACCCGAAACCCGGUGAUCUAGCCAUGGGCAGGUUGAAGGUUGGGUAACACUAACUGGAGGACCGAACCGACUAAUGUUGAAAAAUUAGCGGAUGACUUGUGGCUGGGGGUGAAAGGCCAAUCAAACCGGGAGAUAGCUGGUUCUCCCCGAAAGCUAUUUAGGUAGCGCCUCGUGAAUUCAUCUCCGGGGGUAGAGCACUGUUUCGGCAAGGGGGUCAUCCCGACUUACCAACCCGAUGCAAACUGCGAAUACCGGAGAAUGUUAUCACGGGAGACACACGGCGGGUGCUAACGUCCGUCGUGAAGAGGGAAACAACCCAGACCGCCAGCUAAGGUCCCAAAGUCAUGGUUAAGUGGGAAACGAUGUGGGAAGGCCCAGACAGCCAGGAUGUUGGCUUAGAAGCAGCCAUCAUUUAAAGAAAGCGUAAUAGCUCACUGGUCGAGUCGGCCUGCGCGGAAGAUGUAACGGGGCUAAACCAUGCACCGAAGCUGCGGCAGCGACACUGUGUGUUGUUGGGUAGGGGAGCGUUCUGUAAGCCUGUGAAGGUGUGCUGUGAGGCAUGCUGGAGGUAUCAGAAGUGCGAAUGCUGACAUAAGUAACGAUAAAGCGGGUGAAAAGCCCGCUCGCCGGAAGACCAAGGGUUCCUGUCCAACGUUAAUCGGGGCAGGGUGAGUCGACCCCUAAGGCGAGGCCGAAAGGCGUAGUCGAUGGGAAACAGGUUAAUAUUCCUGUACUUGGUGUUACUGCGAAGGGGGGACGGAGAAGGCUAUGUUGGCCGGGCGACGGUUGUCCCGGUUUAAGCGUGUAGGCUGGUUUUCCAGGCAAAUCCGGAAAAUCAAGGCUGAGGCGUGAUGACGAGGCACUACGGUGCUGAAGCAACAAAUGCCCUGCUUCCAGGAAAAGCCUCUAAGCAUCAGGUAACAUCAAAUCGUACCCCAAACCGACACAGGUGGUCAGGUAGAGAAUACCAAGGCGCUUGAGAGAACUCGGGUGAAGGAACUAGGCAAAAUGGUGCCGUAACUUCGGGAGAAGGCACGCUGAUAUGUAGGUGAAGUCCCUCGCGGAUGGAGCUGAAAUCAGUCGAAGAUACCAGCUGGCUGCAACUGUUUAUUAAAAACACAGCACUGUGCAAACACGAAAGUGGACGUAUACGGUGUGACGCCUGCCCGGUGCCGGAAGGUUAAUUGAUGGGGUCAGCGCAAGCGAAGCUCUUGAUCGAAGCCCCGGUAAACGGCGGCCGUAACUAUAACGGUCCUAAGGUAGCGAAAUUCCUUGUCGGGUAAGUUCCGACCUGCACGAAUGGCGUAAUGAUGGCCAGGCUGUCUCCACCCGAGACUCAGUGAAAUUGAACUCGCUGUGAAGAUGCAGUGUACCCGCGGCAAGACGGAAAGACCCCGUGAACCUUUACUAUAGCUUGACACUGAACAUUGAGCCUUGAUGUGUAGGAUAGGUGGGAGGCUUUGAAGUGUGGACGCCAGUCUGCAUGGAGCCGACCUUGAAAUACCACCCUUUAAUGUUUGAUGUUCUAACGUGGACCCGUGAUCCGGGUUGCGGACAGUGUCUGGUGGGUAGUUUGACUGGGGCGGUCUCCUCCUAAAGAGUAACGGAGGAGCACGAAGGUUGGCUAAUCCUGGUCGGACAUCAGGAGGUUAGUGCAAUGGCAUAAGCCAGCUUGACUGCGAGCGUGACGGCGCGAGCAGGUGCGAAAGCAGGUCAUAGUGAUCCGGUGGUUCUGAAUGGAAGGGCCAUCGCUCAACGGAUAAAAGGUACUCCGGGGAUAACAGGCUGAUACCGCCCAAGAGUUCAUAUCGACGGCGGUGUUUGGCACCUCGAUGUCGGCUCAUCACAUCCUGGGGCUGAAGUAGGUCCCAAGGGUAUGGCUGUUCGCCAUUUAAAGUGGUACGCGAGCUGGGUUUAGAACGUCGUGAGACAGUUCGGUCCCUAUCUGCCGUGGGCGCUGGAGAACUGAGGGGGGCUGCUCCUAGUACGAGAGGACCGGAGUGGACGCAUCACUGGUGUUCGGGUUGUCAUGCCAAUGGCACUGCCCGGUAGCUAAAUGCGGAAGAGAUAAGUGCUGAAAGCAUCUAAGCACGAAACUUGCCCCGAGAUGAGUUCUCCCUGACCCUUUAAGGGUCCUGAAGGAACGUUGAAGACGACGACGUUGAUAGGCCGGGUGUGUAAGCGCAGCGAUGCGUUGAGCUAACCGGUACUAAUGAACCGUGAGGCUUAACCUUACAACGCCGAAGGUGUUU